This 779-nucleotide ribosomal RNA is filed under the name uncultured bacterium. Its description in RNAcentral is "bacterial SSU rRNA". It matches the Rfam family "Bacterial small subunit ribosomal RNA", at positions 8 to 796 of the family's 1533-position model. The record is from RNAcentral.
AGAGUUUGAUCAUGGCUCAGGACGAACGCUGGCGGCGUGCCUAACACAUGCAAGUCGAGCGGGGAUACCGACGGAGUAAUCUGGAGGUAUUCUAGCGGCGGACGGGUGAGUAACGCGUGAGCAACCUGUCCUUGUCCGGGGGAUAAGAAGCCGAAAGGCUUUCUAAUACCGCAUGAGACCACGGGACCACAUGGUUCUGAGGUUAAAGGAGCAAUUUGGGCAAGGGUGGGCUCGCGUCUGAUUAGCUGGUUGGUGAGGUAACGGCUCACCAAGGCAACGAUCAGUAGCCGACCUGAGAGGGUGAUCGGCCACAUUGGAACUGAGACACGGUCCAAACUCCUACGGGAGGCAGCAGUGGGGAAUAUUGGGCAAUGGGCGAAAGCCUGACCCAGCAACGCCGCGUGAAGGAAGAAGGUUUUCGGAUCGUAAACUUCUAUCCUAGGUGAAGAUAAUGACGGUAGCCUAGAAGGAAGCCCCGGCUAACUACGUGCCAGCAGCCGCGGUAAUACGUAGGGGGCAAGCGUUGUCCGGAUUUAUUGGGUUUAAAGGGUGCGUAGGCGGGCUAUUAAGUCAGUGGUGAAAUCCAGCAGCUUAACUGUUGAUGUGCCAUUGAUACUGGUAGUCUUGAGUACAGAUGAGGUAGGCGGAAUUGACAGUGUAGCGGUGAAAUGCAUAGAUAUUGUCAAGAACUCCGAUAGCGAAGGCAGCUUACUGGGCUGUAACUGACGCUGAUGCACGAAAGUGUGGGGAUCAAACAGGAUUAGAUACCCUAGUAGUCC